RNAcentral lists this ribosomal RNA (450 nucleotides) under Triticum aestivum (bread wheat). RNAcentral describes it as "partial small subunit ribosomal RNA". Lineage: Eukaryota; Viridiplantae; Streptophyta; Magnoliopsida; Poales; Poaceae. The record is from RNAcentral.
AUGGGUCGCCGAGAUGCCGAGGCCAAGGCGGAGCUCCAGGCCAUCGAGGCCGCGUACGCCGCUGAGUCCGCCAGGCGUCGCCACCUCCCCGACUGGUCCAAGAUGCCAGCCCCCCGCCCCCGUCCGCCCACGGCCCAACCCAGUCCCCGCGGCCGCGUGUGCCUCCUCGCCGUCGUGGGUGCUCUCUCCCCACUUGCCAAUGUGAGUACCAGCUACCCACCCAUGUUCUUCUCUGUAAUCAAGUGUUCGCGGGGAAGCUCAGUUAUGGUCAAUUCAUCUCAAAAUAAUGCAAACCCUUGCAGACUGCUCAGGAAGCAGCUGAGUACACUGGCGGCAUCGGUUGUAAAUAGCCGGACUAAAGGAUCUAUGCACAUAUCUGCACCCGCAAGUUUUAUUGCUGGAGUGUGGAAUGGUUUGAGCACGGCAAUCAAGUGGCAGAAUUAUUGUUGA